CACGGGGUUGCGAGCGUUGUCCGGAAUUACUAGGCGUAAAGGGCAGGCAGGCGGAUCCAUAAGUUUAUCGUUUAAGGCGUCGGCUUAACCGGCGUAGGGCGGUAGAUACUGUGGAUCUGGAAUGCGGUUGGGGAAGACAGAAUUCCUGGUGUAGCGGUGGAAUGCGCAGAGAUCAGGAGGAAUACCGAAGGCGAAGGCAGUCUUCCAAGCCGUCAUUGACGCUCAACUGCGAAGGUGUGGGUAUCAAACAGGAUUAGAUACCCCGGUAGUCCCUGA
This 276-nucleotide ribosomal RNA is filed under the name uncultured prokaryote. RNAcentral's name for it is "partial 16S ribosomal RNA". It matches the Rfam family "Bacterial small subunit ribosomal RNA", at positions 524 to 800 of the family's 1533-position model. The record is from RNAcentral.